GACGAACGCUGGCGGCGUGCUUAACACAUGCAAGUCGAACGGAAAGGCCCUGCUUUUGUGGGGUGCUCGAGUGGCGAACGGGUGAGUAACACGUGAGUAACCUGCCCUUGACUUUGGGAUAACUUCAGGAAACUGGGGCUAAUACCGGAUAGGAGCUCCUGCUGCAUGGUGGGGGUUGGAAAGUUUCGGCGGUUGGGGGUGGACUGGCGGCUUAUCAGCUUGUUGGUGGGUUAGUGGCUUACCAAGGCUUUGACGGGUAGCCGGCCUGGGAGGGUGACCGGCCACAUUGGGACUGAGAUACGGCCCAGACUCCUACGGGAGGCAGCAGUGGGGAAUAUUGCACAAUGGGCGGAAGCCUGAUGCAGCAACGCCGCGUGCGGGAUGACGGCCUUCGGGUUGUAAACCGCUUUCGCCUGUGACGAAGCGUGAGUGACGGUAAUGGGUAAAGAAGCACCGGCUAACUACGUG
This 468-nucleotide ribosomal RNA is filed under the name uncultured bacterium. RNAcentral describes it as "partial 16S ribosomal RNA". It matches the Rfam family "Bacterial small subunit ribosomal RNA", at positions 28 to 507 of the family's 1533-position model. The record is from RNAcentral.